Molecule: ribosomal RNA, 446 nt
Filed under: uncultured bacterium
Lineage: Bacteria
Description: partial 16S ribosomal RNA
Rfam family: Bacterial small subunit ribosomal RNA
Source: RNAcentral
GUAAGGAAUAUUGGGCAAUGGAGGCAACUCUGACCCAGCCAUGCCGCGUGAAGGAUUGACGGCCCUCUGGGUUGUAAACUUCUUUUGUACGGGAAUAACCCUCCGAACGUGUUCGGAGCUGAAGGUACCGUAAGAAUAAGGAUCGGCUAACUCCGUGCCAGCAGCCGCGGUAAUACGGAGGAUCCAAGCGUUAUCCGGAUUUACUGGGUUUAAAGGGUGCGUAGGCGGAUUGAUAAGUCAGUGGUGAAAUCCUGCAGCUUAACUGCAGAACUGCCAUUGAUACUGCCAGUCUGGAGUAUGGUUGAGGUAGCUGGAAUGUGUCAUGUAGCGGUGAAAUGCUUAGAGAUGACACAGAACACCGACGGCGAAGGCAGGUUACCAACCCAUUACUGACGCUGAGGCACGAAAGCGUGGGGAUCAAACAGGAUUAGAAACCCCGGUAGUCC